CGCAUGACAUCCCGGGGCCGCAUGGCCCUGGGAUCAAAGGAGCAAUCCGCUGAGAGAUGGACUCGCGUCCGAUUAGCUAGUUGGUGAGAUGAAGGCCCACCAAGGCGACGAUCGGUAGCCGGACUGAGAGGUUGAACGGCCACAUUGGGACUGAGACACGGCCCAGACUCCUACGGGAGGCAGCAGUGGGGGAUAUUGCACAAUGGAGGGAACUCUGAUGCAGCAACGCCGCGUGAGGGAAGAAGGUCUUCGGAUUGUAAACCUUUGUCCUCAGGGAAGAUAAUGACGGUACCUGAGGAGGAAGCUCCGGCUAACUACGUGCCAGCAGCCGCGGUAAUACGUAGGGAGCAAGCGUUGUCCGGAUUUACUGGGUGUAAAGGGAGCGCAGGCGGGCGAUCAAGUUGGAAGUGAAAUCCAUGGGCUCAACCCAUGAACUGCUUUCAAAACUGAUUGUCUUGAGUAGUGCAGAGGUAGGCGGAAUUCCCGGUGUAGCGGUGGAAUGCGUAGAUAUCGGGAGGAACACCAGUGGCGAAGGCGGCCUACUGGGCACCAACUGACGCUGAGGCUCGAAAGUGUGGGUAGCAAACAGGAUUAGAUACCCUGGUAGUCCACACGGUAAACGAUGAAUACUCGCUGUUUGCGAUAUACUGCAAGCGGCCAAGCGAAAGCGUUAAGUAUUCCACCUGGGGAGUACGCCCGCACGGUGAAACUCAAAGGAAUUGACGGGGGCCCGC
This 734-nucleotide ribosomal RNA is filed under the name uncultured Oscillospiraceae bacterium. Its description in RNAcentral is "bacterial SSU rRNA". It matches the Rfam family "Bacterial small subunit ribosomal RNA", at positions 170 to 924 of the family's 1533-position model. The record is from RNAcentral. Lineage: Bacteria; Bacillati; Bacillota; Clostridia; Eubacteriales; Oscillospiraceae.